Molecule: long non-coding RNA, 1756 nt
Organism: Eutrema salsugineum
Lineage: Eukaryota; Viridiplantae; Streptophyta; Magnoliopsida; Brassicales; Brassicaceae
Exons: 6
Source: RefSeq, a predicted model, not a curated record
ACCGAGGUACAAACGAAAAAGAGAUAGAAGAAAACAUAGAGGCAAGAGUGUUGAUGUCGAAAAGAAGACCGAAGAUCUCCUUGAUCGUCUCCUGCAGAUUAAUAGCUCAGAUCAGGUCCUGAGCGUCAGAUUUCCGGUGGAUUUGCGUGAAUCCCUUGCCGAGGCAGUAAUCCAAGGCAGAUCGUAUGGCUAGAGCUUCGGCCAUGAGUGGUGAGAGGACGUUUGGUUCUGAGGUGCAACCUUUACCCAUUUCGGAGCCUCUAUUGUCGAAGAUUAUCCAUCCGAGACCUGCAGAGCUUGGAUCGGAUCUCCAAGCCGCAUCAGUGAAGCAGGUGUGAAUGCUCUAUCUUCAAAUAGGAGGUGGUUGCGUGCAGAGCAGAUGGCCCAACAGACCCAUGGAAGAAUUGGUCCCGAUCCCACUCCCGAUGGGGGUAGACAGACCAUGAACUUAGAUCCCAUUAGGCCUGUCUCGAAGAAAGAAAUCCUGGUUGGUUCGAGCUGAUCUCGAAGAGGAAUCAGGGACCAAACCUUACGUGCAAAGGAACAGUGGAAGAACAAAUGUUCCGCUGAUUCGAGAUCUGCACAGAAAGGGCAUCCUGAGUCCACUUGGAGACCUCAGUUGAGGAGGUUUUCGCCUAAAGUUAAGAGAUGGGUGUAGAAUUUGAUGUGGAGUCUCACUAAUUUGAGGUAUACUCUCCUGAUUUGGUCGGAAGCCAGAUGAAGCGGUCCUCAGCACCGUUGGAGCUUGGUCUGAGGCAUAGGAUUUUGUCAGCAUAGGCCGGUAAGGUAUCCUUGACUUUAUCUUCCUUCCAGGACCCAUUCUCAUUGAUAAGUUCAGAGACUGUCCAGUCUUUAGAUGCGAGAGUGGGAGGACCAACAGGCCAUGAAGGGGAGGUCAAGGAUAGCCAAGGGUCAUUCCAUAAAGAGGAUGCCUCGCCAGCCAUGGGAAGUAGAUGAGGUAAUAGGUGUUUCCAGGAUCGAUUUGUCCUUGCAAUAUUUCCCUAGAAGCACUUGAUUCAGGAGGCUGGAUGGGUUCUUGAUGAUUCUCCAGGCUAGUUUAACUAAUAGCUGGUGGGUAACUUGAAGCAAGACAUGGAGUUGUGUUGGAAUGGCGGAGAGCACAGACUUGAUCAUCGUCAAUUUCCAGGCGACAAUUUUUUCGAAGACCAGCUGGCCGCUUUGUGUCUGAUACGAUUCACCAACAUAGUAAAGAGGUCUUUCUUUCGUCUUCCAAAACCCUCGGGUAUGGAUUUAGACGUUAGUAAACUAUUGGUAUAAAUAUUAGAAUACUCUGUUUUGACAGAAUCUUCCAGGCAUACAGUACCUGGAUACAACCAUCAAUUAAUCUUGUUAGUUGCAUACAUGUAGUGGUCCAGUGGAUUGGUUGAAGGAAAACCAGAGACUAUAGUCGAUCCUUUUUUUAUAGAAAUCCAAGAGACAAGAUCAUGAAGUUGUUCAAGAGAAUGCAUCAACGAGACCAGCCAUGAGCUCUGUAAUAGUUUGGCCUCUUAGUGAGACUAUCACUAAAGCUUUACCUAAGGCUUCAACUUUCACUGGAAGUCAAUCUCAUUCUGAAAAUGGUACUCUAUGUCAAUGAGUAAUAAUGUCUUCACAGAGUUGAGUUGUCAUGAAGUUAUAUAAAUCAGUUAAUCAGAAUGUUAAAGUAGAAUUAGAAACAUUGUAUGUGUCAUCUAAAAAAAAUCAAACAGUAAUGGAAUGCAUGAUUCCUCCCAUUCUUGUAAUCCUAAACUUGUAG